Molecule: ribosomal RNA, 279 nt
Filed under: uncultured bacterium
Lineage: Bacteria
Description: partial 16S ribosomal RNA
Rfam family: Bacterial small subunit ribosomal RNA
Source: RNAcentral
UGCCAGCCGCCGCGGUAAUACGGAGGGGGUUAGCGUUGUUCGGAAUUACUGGGCGUAAAGCGUACGUAGGUGGUUGAAAAAGUUAGUGGUGAAAUCCCAGAGCUUAACUCUGGAACUGCCAUUAAAACUUUUUAGCUAGAGUGUGAUAGAGGUAAGUGGAAUUUCUAGUGUAGAGGUGAAAUUCGUAGAUAUUAGAAAGAACACCAAAUGCGAAGGCAACUUACUGGGUCACUACUGACACUGAGGAGCGAAAGCAUGGGUAGCGAAGAGGAUUAGAUA